GCCCUCCUAGCUCAAUCGGAAGAGCGUGGGACUUUUACGAGACUUUAGCGUACUGAGAUCCCAAGGUCGGGAGUUCGAGCCUCCCGGAGGGCG
The sequence is a transfer RNA, 93 nucleotides long. It matches the Rfam family "tRNA". From Rfam's summary of the family: Transfer RNA (tRNA) molecules are approximately 80 nucleotides in length. Their secondary structure includes four short double-helical elements and three loops (D, anti-codon, and T loops).